RNAcentral lists this long non-coding RNA (1029 nucleotides) under Medicago truncatula (barrel medic). RNAcentral's name for it is "long non-coding RNA (MTRU_LNC000876)". The record is from RNAcentral. Lineage: Eukaryota; Viridiplantae; Streptophyta; Magnoliopsida; Fabales; Fabaceae.
CUUUUCAAUUCUUUCAAUCUUCAAUUCCUUUCAUUUUUUUCUCCACGCUCCACCAUCGAUUUCCCCUCCCCGUUCUCUUCUCCUUCCCUGUUUUCCUCCUUCUAACAUUAAUCUCCCAAAUCAACACAAACUUUAUUCUCUCUCUUUCCCCCACCCUCUCUCUCGUCAUCAUCUCCCUCCCUUCCCUUUCAAUUCUCAAUGAACCUUGGAAGCUCCACCCUUCUCAAUCCUAAUCAACCCAAAUCUGUAAUUAACAUAUUCCAGAAUGUUCAUGGAUUUUGCAAGAUUGACUGUGAUUAUUAGGUUUUGAAAAUUAAGGAUGAAGGUGAACCCAGAUCUGUGCUCAUAUAUUGUUCAUUUAUCAAAACUAAAUAUAAACCUAAAGGUGUAGCUCCUUUUGAUUUCUAAGAGGUGAACCAAUAGUCAUGGGGUGUUGGGAAAAUUAUGAUCGUUUCUGGCUGCCGACGAGCAACCCCGGCUCCGACUGCGUUUUCUAGCGAGUUGAGUUCAGUGCAUUCAAACAUGUUUCUGCUGUAAGGGUAAAAUGACUGCGAUUUUUCUCCUUUUUGAAAAAAUGGAGUUACUGAGUAUUGUUGUUAUGGGGCCAGAUCUGAAUAUAAAAAGGAGAAGAUUUGGGUGUUCAAUUGUUUAAUGGAUUGAUGAUGUUGCAAGUUGUUACUAUUGUUGAUGAUGGUGUUGUUAAAGAAAUUGAUAGUGUUGUUGACAAUGGAUUUAUGUUGAAUCAAGUUUUCUCCUUUGUUACCGUUGUUAAUGAAAUGUGUUGUUGAUGAUGGACUGGUGAUGCUUUAGCAGUUGUUGAUGAUGGUGCAAGCUGUUAAUUGAUUAAUCCAUAUGAUGAUAUUGUUGCUGCAAGCUUUUCCAGAACAAGAUAUUAGAGAAGAAGCUCACAUGCCUAACUUUCUAAUUCCUCUUUUUUCUUUUUUUCUUCAUAUAAAUUUGAGCUUGGAAAUAAAAUUAAAAAAAAAAACAAUAAGUGCUUUUAUUUAUUUAAAUCAGAUUAAAUGCCAC